AACGAACGCUGGCGGCAUGCCUAACACAUGCAAGUCGAACGAGACCUUCGGGUCUAGUGGCGCACGGGUGCGUAACGCGUGGGAACCUGCCCUUAGGUUCGGAAUAACUCCCCGAAAGGGGUGCUAAUACCGGAUAAUGUCUUCGGACCAAAGAUUUAUCGCCUUUGGAUGGGCCCGCGUUGGAUUAGCUAGUUGGUAGGGUAAAAGCCUACCAAGGCGACGAUCCAUAGCUAGUCUGAGAGGAUGAUCAGCCACACUGGGACUGAGACACGGCCCAGACUCCUACGGGAGGCAGCAGUGGGGAAUAUUGGACAAUGGGCGAAAGCCUGAUCCAGCAAUGCCGCGUGAGUGAUGAAGGCCUUAGGGUUGUAAAGCUCCUUUACCCGGGAUGAUAAUGACAGUACCGGGAGAAUAAGCUCCGGCUAACUCCGUG
RNAcentral lists this ribosomal RNA (433 nucleotides) under uncultured bacterium. RNAcentral describes it as "partial 16S ribosomal RNA". It matches the Rfam family "Bacterial small subunit ribosomal RNA", at positions 29 to 507 of the family's 1533-position model. The record is from RNAcentral.